GGAAUAUUGGGCAAUGGACGCAAGUCUGACCCAGCCAUGCCGCGUGCAGGAUGAAGGACUUCUGGGUUGUAAACUGCUUUUUUACGGGCCGAAAAAACUCUUGCGAGAGGAACUGACGGUACCGUAAGAAUAAGCACCGGCUACCUCCGUGCCAGCAGCCGCGGUAAUAAGGAGGGUGCAAGCGUUGUCCGGAUUUAUUGGGUUUAAAGGGUGCGUAGGCGGCCCGUUAAGUCAGUGGUGAAAGCCAACAGCUCAACUGUUGAACUGCCAUUGAUACUGCCGGGCUUGAGUACAGACGAGGUAGGCGGAAUUGAAGAUGUAGCGGUGAAAUGCAUAGAUAUCUUCAAGAACACCGAUUGCGUAGGCAGCUUACUAGGCUGUAACUGACGCUGAGGCACGAAAGCGUGGGGAGCGAAC
This 417-nucleotide ribosomal RNA is filed under the name uncultured bacterium. RNAcentral describes it as "bacterial SSU rRNA". It matches the Rfam family "Bacterial small subunit ribosomal RNA", at positions 358 to 773 of the family's 1533-position model. The record is from RNAcentral.